This 572-nucleotide ribosomal RNA is filed under the name Sceloporus gadsdeni (Lagoon spiny lizard). Its description in RNAcentral is "partial 12S small subunit ribosomal RNA". It matches the Rfam family "Bacterial small subunit ribosomal RNA", at positions 19 to 971 of the family's 1533-position model. Lineage: Eukaryota; Metazoa; Chordata; Lepidosauria; Squamata; Phrynosomatidae. The record is from RNAcentral.
UAAACUUACUGCUACUUUUAAUCAAAUUUACACAUGCAAGCAUCCACACACCAGUGAAAUACGCCCUAACACAGUAUAAAUGGAGCAGGUAUCAGGCACAACCGCCAGCCAAAAACACCAAGCUUUGCCACACCCACACGGGCCCUCAGCAGUGAUAAACAUUAAGCAAUAAGCGAACACACCAAACUAAAGCUUGACUUAGUUAUGAUUAACAGGGCCGGUAAACCUCGUGCCAGCCACCGCGGUUACACGGCGGGCCCAAAGCAGCAGACUCUCGGCGUAAAUAGUGGCCAGAAUAAUUACCCCCACAUUAAAAACUAAACCAUACCCCAACCGUAAAACACAGGCUAAAUGAAAUCAAGCACUUUUAAUAACAGGUAAUUUGACCCACGAAAACUAAGAAACAAACUAGGAUUAGAUACCCUACUAUGCUUAGUCGUUAAUAUGAUAUUAUAGUACUAAAAUAUCCGCCAGAAAACUACGAGCGAAAAGCUUAAAACUCAAAGGACUUGGCGGUGCUCCAUACCGACUUAGAGGAGCCUGUCCUAUAAUCGAUACCCCACGCUAAACCC